RNAcentral lists this ribosomal RNA (443 nucleotides) under Salmonella enterica. RNAcentral describes it as "bacterial SSU rRNA". It matches the Rfam family "Bacterial small subunit ribosomal RNA", at positions 1079 to 1522 of the family's 1533-position model. RNAcentral also lists the same sequence under 3 other names. Lineage: Bacteria; Pseudomonadati; Pseudomonadota; Gammaproteobacteria; Enterobacterales; Enterobacteriaceae. The record is from RNAcentral.
GUUAAGUCCCGCAACGAGCGCAACCCUUAUCCUUUGUUGCCAGCGAUUAGGUCGGGAACUCAAAGGAGACUGCCAGUGAUAAACUGGAGGAAGGUGGGGAUGACGUCAAGUCAUCAUGGCCCUUACGACCAGGGCUACACACGUGCUACAAUGGCGCAUACAAAGAGAAGCGACCUCGCGAGAGCAAGCGGACCUCAUAAAGUGCGUCGUAGUCCGGAUUGGAGUCUGCAACUCGACUCCAUGAAGUCGGAAUCGCUAGUAAUCGUGGAUCAGAAUGCCACGGUGAAUACGUUCCCGGGCCUUGUACACACCGCCCGUCACACCAUGGGAGUGGGUUGCAAAAGAAGUAGGUAGCUUAACCUUCGGGAGGGCGCUUACCACUUUGUGAUUCAUGACUGGGGUGAAGUCGUAACAAGGUAACCGUAGGGGAACCUGCGGUUGGA